UGAGGAAUAUUGGUCAAUGGCCGGGAGGCUGAACCAGCCAAGUCGCGUGAGGGAAUAAGGCCCUACGGGUCGUAAACCUCUUUUGCCAGGGAGCAAUGCCGUCCACGUGUGGACGGAAGGAGAGUACCUGGAGAAAAAGCAUCGGCUAACUCCGUGCCAGCAGCCGCGGUAAUACGGAGGAUGCGAGCGUUAUCCGGAUUUAUUGGGUUUAAAGGGUGCGUAGGCGGCCUGCCAAGUCAGCGGUAAAAUUGCGGGGCUCAACCCCGUACAGCCGUUGAAACUGCCGGGCUCGAGUGGGCGAGAAGUAUGCGGAAUGCGUGGUGUAGCGGUGAAAUGCAUAGAUAUCACGCAGAACCCCGAUUGCGAAGGCAGCAUACCGGCGCCCUACUGACGCUGAGGCACGAAAGUGCGGGGAUCAAA
This 420-nucleotide ribosomal RNA is filed under the name uncultured bacterium. Its description in RNAcentral is "bacterial SSU rRNA". It matches the Rfam family "Bacterial small subunit ribosomal RNA", at positions 355 to 772 of the family's 1533-position model. The record is from RNAcentral.